GCCUGCCCAGUGAUACACCAUUCAACGGCCGCGGUAUCCUAACCGUGCAAAGGUAGCACAAUCACUUGUUCUUUAAAUAAGGACUAGUAUGAACGGCACCAUGAGGAUCGCCUUGUCUCUCAUAGUAAGUCCAUGAAACUGAUCCCCCAGUACAAAAGCUGGGAUACCCCCACAAGACGAGAAGACCCUGUGGAGCUUUAAACUGCACACCACACACACUGGUACUAGCAGUUUUUAGUUGGGGCGACUUUGGAGCAAAACAAAACCUCCAAAAUUUAACCUAAACCCCAGACGGACACGUCUGGGCCAAUCAACCAUCGACCCAAUACAAUUGAUCAAUGAACCAAGUUACCCCAGGGAUAACAGCGCAAUCUUCUUCUAGAGUCCCUAUCGACAAGAAGGUUUACGACCUCGAUGUUGGAUCCGGAUACCCCAAUAGUGCAGCCGCUAUUAACGGUUCGUUUGUUCAACGAUUAAUAAUCCCACGUGAUCUGAGUUCAGACCGG
This 506-nucleotide ribosomal RNA is filed under the name Amphisbaena mertensii. Its description in RNAcentral is "partial 16S ribosomal RNA". It matches the Rfam family "Bacterial large subunit ribosomal RNA", at positions 1857 to 2619 of the family's 2925-position model. Lineage: Eukaryota; Metazoa; Chordata; Lepidosauria; Squamata; Amphisbaenidae. The record is from RNAcentral.